Molecule: ribosomal RNA, 1151 nt
Filed under: Livia junci
Lineage: Eukaryota; Metazoa; Arthropoda; Insecta; Hemiptera; Liviidae
Description: 16S ribosomal RNA
Source: RNAcentral
AAUUUAAAUUUUUUACAAUGGAGAGUUAAUAAAUUAUAUAAAUAUAUUACUGCGAGGGGGGAGCCUCGCAAUUAAUAUUAUUAAAAGAUUUAUUAAUUGUACCUUUUGUAUCAGGGAUAAUUUAAAUUAAUUUUCUAGGAAGUUUUCUCGAAAAAAGAAGAUCUAGAAGUAAAAAUUGUUACUGUUUAAUAAUUAAAUUAAAUUUUCUUCUUGGUUUGACAUAAAAUUCAAUUCUUUAUAUCUAGUUUCUUUAAUUUUAAAUUCAAUUUAGUAAGUUUUCGUUUUUGGAAAUUUGAAAAUAAUUAAAAGGAUAAUCUUUUAAUUAAAAUUAUAGUGAUCAUAGUUUGAUUAUGAUUAUUAGGCUUAAAAUUAGUUUAAAUUUAUUAAUAUGUUAAAAUAAAUCAUUACAUAAUGAAAAUUUUAUUAUACUCUUUAGGGGGAGCUAAAGAUAUAUAAUAAAACAUUUUUGUUAUAAAAAAUAUGAUUAAAUUAGUAGAAUAGUAAAAUAAUUAUUAAGAACUUAGCAAAUAAGAAGUUUCGCCUGUUUAACAAAAACAUCUUUGUAAGAUAAUUAUUUAUAAUAUUGUCUGCUCAAUGCUUUAAGUAAAUAGCUGCAGUAUUUUGACUGUACAAAGGUAGCAUAAUCAUUAGUCUUUUAAUUGAAGGCUUGUAUGAAAGACUAAACGGAAACUUAGCUUUUUUAUAGUUAUGAUAUUUUAAUUUAGUUUUUUAGUUAAAAAACUAAAGUAGACUAAAGGGACGAUAAGACCCUAUAGAAUUUAAAAAUAAUUUUGAAAAAUUUAUUAUUUGGUUGGGGUGACCAGAAAAUUAACUUUUCUUUUAAUUUGCAUUUUAAAUGUAUUUAUGAUCCUAAUAAUUUAGAUAGUAAGAUAAAAUUACCUUAGGGAUAACAGCAUAAUUUUUUUUUGAAGAUCUUAUUUAUAAAAGAGAUUAUGACCUCGAUGUUGAAUUAAUAUAAUAUUUAGGUGCAGAAUUUUAAAUAGAUAGUCUGUUCGACUUUAAAUUUUACAUGAUUUGAGUUCAAACCGGCGUGAGCCAGGUUGGUUUCUAUCUUUUAAUAAUAAAUUAUUUUAGUACGAAAGGAUUGAGUAGUUGAAUUUUUAUUGAUUAAUUUUAUGCAUAAAAUUAAU